UAGGGAAUCUUAGGCAAUGGGGGCAACUCUGACCGAGCAACGCCGCGUGAGUGAAGAAGGUUUUCGGAUCGUAAAGCUCUGUUGUAAGAGAAGAACGUGUGUGAGAGUGGAAAGUUCACACAGUGACGGUAACUUACCAGAAAGGGACGGCUAACUACGUGCCAG
Molecule: ribosomal RNA, 165 nt
Filed under: uncultured bacterium
Lineage: Bacteria
Description: partial 16S rRNA
Rfam family: Bacterial small subunit ribosomal RNA
Source: RNAcentral